RNAcentral lists this ribosomal RNA (734 nucleotides) under uncultured Slackia sp. Its description in RNAcentral is "bacterial SSU rRNA". It matches the Rfam family "Bacterial small subunit ribosomal RNA", at positions 28 to 776 of the family's 1533-position model. Lineage: Bacteria; Bacillati; Actinomycetota; Coriobacteriia; Eggerthellales; Eggerthellaceae. The record is from RNAcentral.
GAUGAACGCUGGCGGCGCGCCUAACACAUGCAAGUCGAACGGUUAAGGCCCCCUUCGGGGGGCGCAUAGAGUGGCGAACGGGUGAGUAACACGUGACCAACCCGCCCCCCCCACCGGGACAACCUCGGGAAACCGAGGCUAAUACCGGAUACGCCGGGGCCCCCGCAUGGGGGCUCCGGGAAAGCCUUGGCGGGAGGGGACGGGGUCGCGGCCCAUCAGGUAGACGGCGGGGCGAAGGCCCGCCGUGCCGACGACGGGUAGCCGGGCUGAGAGGCCGAUCGGCCACAUUGGGACUGAGACACGGCCCAGACUCCUACGGGAGGCAGCAGUGGGGAAUAUUGCGCAAUGGGGGAAACCCUGACGCAGCGACGCCGCGUGCGGGAAGGAGGCCUUCGGGUCGUAAACCGCUUUCAGCAGGGAAGAAGCCUGACGGUACCUGCAGAAGAAGCCCCGGCUAACUACGUGCCAGCAGCCGCGGUAAUACGUAGGGGGCGAGCGUUAUCCGGAUUCAUUGGGCGUAAAGCGCGCGCAGGCGGCCCGCCAAGCGGCCUCGUCGAAGCCGGGGGCUCAACCCCCGGAAGCGACCCGAACUGGCGGGCUCGAGUGGGGCAGGGGAGGAUGGAAUUCCCGGUGUAGCGGUGAAAUGCGCAGAUAUCGGGAGGAACACCGACGGCGAAGGCAGCCCUCUGGGCCUUCACUGACGCUGAGGCGCGAAAGCUGGGGGAGCGAACAGG